UACGGAGGAUCCAAGCGUUAUCCGGAUUUAUUGGGUUUAAAGGGUGCGUAGGCGGGAGAUUAAGUCGGUGGUGAAAUUUUGCAGCUCAACUGUAAAAGUGCCAUUGAUACUGGUUUCCUUGAGUGUGGAUGAAGUAGGCGGAAUUUGUGGUGUAGCGGUGAAAUGCAUAGAUAUCACGAGGAACUCCGAUUGCGCAGGCAGCUUACUAAACCAUAACUGACGCUCAGGCACGAAGGCGUGGGGAUCAAACAGGAUUAGAUACCCGUGUA
This 269-nucleotide ribosomal RNA is filed under the name uncultured prokaryote. Its description in RNAcentral is "partial 16S ribosomal RNA". It matches the Rfam family "Bacterial small subunit ribosomal RNA", at positions 524 to 792 of the family's 1533-position model. The record is from RNAcentral.